This 253-nucleotide ribosomal RNA is filed under the name uncultured bacterium. Its description in RNAcentral is "partial 16S ribosomal RNA". It matches the Rfam family "Bacterial small subunit ribosomal RNA", at positions 524 to 776 of the family's 1533-position model. The record is from RNAcentral.
UACGUAGGGUGCGAGCGUUGUCCGGAAUUAUUGGGCGUAAAGAGCUUGUAGGCGGUCUGUCGCGUCUGCUGUGAAAAUCCGGGGCUCAACCCCGGACUUGCAGUGGGUACGGGCAGACUAGAGUUCGGUAGGGGAGACUGGAAUUCCUGGUGUAGCGGUGAAAUGCGCAGAUAUCAGGAGGAACACCGAUGGCGAAGGCAGGUCUCUGGGCCGAUACUGACGCUGAGGAGCGAAAGCGUGGGGAGCGAACAGG